Molecule: long non-coding RNA, 411 nt
Filed under: Ananas comosus (pineapple)
Lineage: Eukaryota; Viridiplantae; Streptophyta; Magnoliopsida; Poales; Bromeliaceae
Description: long non-coding RNA (ACOM_LNC039651)
Source: RNAcentral
UUAACAGUGUGUUCCAUUAAGUCUUCUUUACUCAUGCUGUAUGAAUCUUGAGACGAUCCGACGGUUAAAAAAUUAUAAGCACGUUAAACUCCUAUGCUUUUAAAAGCACAAGAGCUCAACUCUUUCUCUCUCUCUCUUUCUCUUUAUGAGUUGGACUGGGCUACUAUUAGUAGCAAAAUACCAUUGUUGCUACCAGUUUUUUAGCCUUUGGAUCAACUCUUUUCAUUAUUUCUAACCAUUGGAUUAAAUACUAUAAUCCAGUGAGGACCACUCAACCCUAGGGGGACCACUCAACUCUAACCGACUAAUAUCAUCCUGACCCUACAAUUUUUCAUCCAAGGGUUAAAAACUUGAUAGCAAAAAGAGCGUUUUACUAUUAAUAGUAUUCCAGCCUAAUUCUAUAUAUAUAUA